Molecule: long non-coding RNA, 1724 nt
Organism: Chinchilla lanigera (long-tailed chinchilla)
Lineage: Eukaryota; Metazoa; Chordata; Mammalia; Rodentia; Chinchillidae
Source: Ensembl
GGCUGCCUGGGUCCCUAGGGCGCGCGCCCUCGGCCUGCCCGGCCCGGGCCCUCCCGCCGGCUCCACCUGCGCGCUGGGUCUCGGGAUGUGCCCGUCCGAGAUGGGGACGCUGUGGCACGUGUGGUCUCCCGUGCUCAUCGGCCUGGCCGCCCUUUCCUCCGAAGUGACCGAGAGCCGGGGCAUCCUUGAGAGCAUCCAGAGGUUCUCCCUGCUGCCCACCUACCUGCCGGUCACCUACCACAUCAACAACGCCGACGUGUCCUUCUUCCUGAAGGAGGCCAACCAGGACAUCAUGCGCAACUCCAGCCUGCAGUCCAGGGUCGAGUCCUUCCUCAUCUACAAAUCCAAGCAGCUGCCGGCGCUCAACGCCAGCUAUGGGCCCUUCUCCAUCGAGCAAGUGGUGCCCCAGGACCUGCUGCUGCCCGCCAACCCCUUCGGCUUCACCAACACGUUUUCCCUGAACUGGAAGCUGAAGGCCUCCAUCCUGCGGGAGAAGAUCUACCCCAGCCGUCCCAAGGUGCAGGUCCUCUUCCACCUGGUAGGCCGGGACUGGGACGACGCGCGGCCUGCGGAGAGGCUGCCCUGCCUGCGCGUCUUCGCCUUCCGGGAGACCCGGGAGGUGCGGGGCAGCUGCCGGCUCGCCGGGGACCUGGGCCUGUGCGUGGCGGAGCUGGAGGUCCCGGCCGCGUGGUUCAGUGCCCCGACGGUGGUUGCCGGGAGGAGGAAGGCCGCGGAGCAGCCCGAGGGCAGCCCGGUGGAGCUGUACUACUCCAUGCAGCCGGGGGACGCGCGUUGGGACUGCGCCCAGGAGGACCGGUGGAGGACCGACGGCAUUCGGACAGGUCACAAUGACAUCGAUGAGUCUGGGCCGCCCUUGCACAGAAUCGGGAGUGUCUUCCUCUACCAGACCCACGGCAGCCCCACCCUGAAGGAGCUGCGACUGGACAGCAAUGUCGCCGUGCACUACGUCCCCAAGACGGCUCGACAGGGCGACGUGCUCACCUUCCCCAUCUUGGUCUCGAGAAACUGUACAGAGGACCGUUUUACGCUGAGGGCCAAGGUGAAGAAAGGCGUGAGCAUUGCCGGGGUGAGGGCCAGCAGCCCCUCCAUCUGGGACGUCAAGGAGAGCUCGGAGUCCGCCGGGAAGUACGCACCCGCUGUCAUAGUGUGUCACAAGAAAUCUGCUGCCUCGGCAAACGGUGCAGACAGCAGCUCCGAGGAAGUCAUGCAGGUCGAUGUGGAGGUCGAAGAUCCCAGCGACCCUCCAGCCACACAGCUCGUCACGUGGCAGGUGGAGUAUCCCGGAGACAUCACCUCUGACCUGGGCGUGUCCGAGAUCUACGUCCGUCAGAAGGACUUGGUUGGAGUGAUCCCACUGGCCAUGGAGGCGGAGAUCCUGAACACGGCCAUCCUCACGGGGAAGACGGUGGCCGUGCCGGUGAAGGUGGUCUCGGUGGAGGAGGACGGCGCGGUGACCGGGCUGCUGGAGUCCGUGGAGUGCAGGUCGUCUGACGAAGACGUGGUUAAGGCAAGUUGGUGCCUGCAGGAGCCCGCGCUCGCUCCACAUUGGUGUCCACGUGCGCCGAGAGCCAUGGGUCACCUGCGUCCCUCCCCGCCCGGCCUGGUGAAAUUGGAGACCGCAGGGCAAGGCCUGCGCCUAAUCCUCUGGUGUCUUGCCAGCCCCUGGCGGUGACCGCAGGACAGGGGCAGGGACUCACACCCCG